CAAAGAGAACGCGAAACCGUUAGGAGGGAAGCGAAUGCAGCCAGUGCGAGACUCGUCAGGUUCAGGAGUAGCCGCAACGUCGCCUGUUUGGAGGCCUAGAUGGUUUCAAAGGGUAAGCGCGAGGUGGCACCUCUGCAGUCCUGCGGGGCUCUUGCCAACGGCAGUGGUCGGCGCCCCUGAGCCGUGGGGGUAAAGGUGACUUGUCUCGCGACCUCGCGAAGCGAGCCGAGAGCUUACAGCCCUUCGGCAAUGGGUGUCUGGCGACUGAGGAGAGUUUUGGUCACUUUUUGACCCGGAACGACGCAGGCCUCCCAACUUCGAAAGGAGAGGGGUGGGCUGGCCUCUUCCUCUGGACGUGCGAGGCCGAGACCCGGGACUGCAUUGCAGUGCCGGGAACUCGGUUCUUCUUCGACCGUGGGAGUCAGAGCGCACCUGCGUCUGGCAGUUGGCAAAACGUGGCUCCAUCCGU
Molecule: small RNA, 469 nt
Filed under: Svenzea sp. QM G333248
Lineage: Eukaryota; Metazoa; Porifera; Demospongiae; Bubarida; Dictyonellidae
Also listed under: 1 other name
Description: partial large subunit ribosomal RNA
Source: RNAcentral